ACUUAAAUUGAAGAGUUUGAUCAUGGCUCAGAUUGAACGCUGGCGGCAGGCCUAACACAUGCAAGUCGAACGGUAGCACAGAGAGCUUGCUCUCGGGUGACGAGUGGCGGACGGGUGAGUAAUGUCUGGGAAACUGCCUGAUGGAGGGGGAUAACUACUGGAAACGGUGGCUAAUACCGCAUAACGUCGCAAGACCAAAGAGGGGGACCUUCGGGCCUCUUGCCAUCAGAUGUGCCCAGAUGGGAUUAGCUGGUUGGUGAGGUAACGGCUCACCAAGGCGACGAUCCCUAGCUGGUCUGAGAGGAUGACCAGCCACACUGGAACUGAGACACGGUCCAGACUCCUACGGGAGGCAGCAGUGGGGAAUAUUGCACAAUGGGCGCAAGCCUGAUGCAGCCAUGCCGCGUGUAUGAAGAAGGCCUUCGGGUUGUAAAGUACUUUCAGCGGGGAGGAAGGUGUUGUGGUUAAUAACCGCAGCAAUUGACGUUACCCGCAGAAGAAGCACCGGCUAACUCCGUGCCAGCAGCCGCGGUAAUACGGA
This 541-nucleotide ribosomal RNA is filed under the name Salmonella enterica subsp. enterica serovar Agona str. 400095 14. RNAcentral's name for it is "bacterial SSU rRNA". It matches the Rfam family "Bacterial small subunit ribosomal RNA", at positions 1 to 529 of the family's 1533-position model. Lineage: Bacteria; Pseudomonadati; Pseudomonadota; Gammaproteobacteria; Enterobacterales; Enterobacteriaceae. The record is from RNAcentral.